UCUUUAAGGCGGGGAUCACACUGACCAGAAGCAAGCGGCAGGUUUCCUAUUGUUCUCUAUGGUUCUGCAGCGGAACCAUGGCAACGCUAGCGUAACGCUAGCGUUAAACAAGCUGAGCGCUGAACUUGGUUCAACUUUCAAAGUGCAACGCGAGCGUAUUCAAUUGUCAAACCAUUUGGAUUG
This is a long non-coding RNA of Alosa sapidissima (American shad), 183 nucleotides long. RefSeq lists it as uncharacterized. Lineage: Eukaryota; Metazoa; Chordata; Actinopteri; Clupeiformes; Clupeidae. The transcript is spliced from 4 exons. The record is from RefSeq and is a predicted model, not a curated record.